UACGAAGGGAGCUAGCGUUGUUCGGAAUCACUGGGCGUAAAGCGCACGUAGGCGGCUUUGUCAGUCAGGGGUGAAAUCCCGGGGCUCAACCUCGGAACUGCCUUUGAUACAGCAAGUCUUGAGUUCGAGAGAGGUGGGUGGAAUUCCUAGUGUAGAGGUGAAAUUCGUAGAUAUUAGGAAGAACACCGGUGGCGAAGGCGGCCCACUGGCUCGAUACUGACGCUGAGGUGCGAAAGCGUGGGGAGCAAACAGG
This 253-nucleotide ribosomal RNA is filed under the name uncultured bacterium. RNAcentral describes it as "partial 16S ribosomal RNA". It matches the Rfam family "Bacterial small subunit ribosomal RNA", at positions 524 to 776 of the family's 1533-position model. The record is from RNAcentral.